AAGAACUUAGAUGAUGACUGUCACGUGUCAUGUUCUCAUUGGAUGUCAACUCUAUGAAAAAUGCAUUGUUGUUUUCAUUGACCAAUCAGAACAUGACAAGUUGUAGGC
This is a non-coding RNA of Glycine soja, 108 nucleotides long. The record is from Rfam. NCBI's taxonomy places the organism in Eukaryota, Viridiplantae, Streptophyta, Magnoliopsida, Fabales, Fabaceae.